Molecule: unclassified non-coding RNA, 306 nt
Filed under: Hevea brasiliensis (rubber tree)
Lineage: Eukaryota; Viridiplantae; Streptophyta; Magnoliopsida; Malpighiales; Euphorbiaceae
Source: RNAcentral
AGAUGAGAGAUAUCAUGAGUUACUUCAAAGAACCCUUUAGCACUAGCACCUCUAGCAUGAACCACACGCUCUGGAAUGCGUUCUCUGUCGAAAUUCGCUAGCUUCUCCACCAAAUGAUAAUCCUCAAGCAGAAUUGGACCUCUGGAGCCAACAGUGAGGGAAUUGUUAUUGUUCCAGACAGGGGCACCAGAGUUUGUGGUGAAGAAAGGAGAAUUGUAGGCGCUCGAUGGACGAUACUUGUAAGGAUCCAUGAUGAUGUUUCGGAGGAAGAGAGACGAGAGGGAUUAAACUCUCGAUAAGGAGAAG